Molecule: ribosomal RNA, 861 nt
Filed under: Triticum aestivum (bread wheat)
Lineage: Eukaryota; Viridiplantae; Streptophyta; Magnoliopsida; Poales; Poaceae
Description: partial small subunit ribosomal RNA
Source: RNAcentral
AUGGCGGCGACUCGUCCAUUCCUCUACUACCUUGGCGUUCUGCUGUUCCUGGCCAUGGCGGCAUCGGGAGCGGCGGCGUUUGGCCUCCCGCGAGGCGUGUCGCCUGCCUACUGCGCCAACGAGUUCCUGCAGUACCACGGGAUCUCGCAGAACGAAAAGGCGGCCAUCCACCUCGGCAACACCAAGUCCUGCAUCGCCGGCUACGGAGGCCGACUGGAUCCCUACACCGCGUACCAGCUCUGCAUCCCCUCCUGGGUUGCCUUCGCACACAACGGCACCCUCGUCGGAGAGGCCGCCAUGAACCACGCCGCCGUCAGCCCCGGGACGGCCGUCUCCGGCUUCAAGCGACUCCUCGGCAUCAGGAUUUACAACGAGAUGGUGAAAAGAGAGGCAGAGCUAGUGCCGUACCAGUUCACCGAACAGCUGGGAAGAUGCGGCAUCCAGAUGGAAACCGAAGAAGGCCACGUGAUGAAUUUCCUUCCCGAGCGUGUGGCCGGCGUCCUCAUGGCCGAGCUUAAGAAGAUGGCGGAGGCGCGCCUGGGCCGCGAGAUCGAGAGCGCCCUUGUCACCGUCCCCGGGCACUUCAAUGGUGCCCAACGGAGUUCGGUCAGGAGAGAAGCUGCGCGGUUGCAUGAUGGUUUCGGUGUCGCCAAGAUCGUCGACGAGCAGGUCGCGGCAGCAGCGGCAUAUCGCCUUCACGAGAAGAGGGGCGACGGCAAGGUCGUCCUCGUCUUCCAUCUCGGUGGCCGCACAAGCCAUGCUACAAAGUUCAGAUUCAAGGAUGGCACGGGUCAUCUCCUCGAGGAACGCCAUGAUGCCUACCUCGGAGGUACGUGUCGAUACUCCAUACACAGCUCCUGA